Onychostruthus taczanowskii (white-rumped snowfinch) is the source of this 479-nucleotide long non-coding RNA. RefSeq lists it as uncharacterized. The record is from RefSeq and is a predicted model, not a curated record. Lineage: Eukaryota; Metazoa; Chordata; Aves; Passeriformes; Passeridae. The transcript is spliced from 3 exons.
UCCACAGCUGCUGGCAGCUGCAUUAUUGAAAUAGCCUCAGAAAGGGUGAUGCCUAAAGGCCAGGAAAGCCUGGCUCAGGAUUGCCUGGAAGAAUCCGUGCUCUCAUCUGGUCUUCCCUGUGGCCAGAGCAGAGGGGAUGAGAGUCCAGCAUCUGUGUUGCCACUCAAAAAAGAGCUUCCCAAAGCAACAGUGAGCUGUUUGUCAAGGAAAUCAGGCUCUCCAGAGGAUGCUGAAGGGGAAUCCAGAGGAGCUGAGCAGCCACCAGGCAGCACUAAAUUAAGGGACACAGCUGUAGGCCAGAGUGGGCAGGAAGAGCCACCCAGCUGGAAGAAAAGUGGCAAAGUAAUUCGUGUCCCACAGGAGGAGGAAGAAAGGCCAAAACAACGGACCUGCAUUUCAGAAGCACAGCCUGAGCAAAAGAGACGUUUCUCUCCAGGCUGUGCCAAUCCAAGUGAGGAAAGGUGUGGCUAUUACCUCAG